Molecule: long non-coding RNA, 1074 nt
Organism: Myiozetetes cayanensis
Lineage: Eukaryota; Metazoa; Chordata; Aves; Passeriformes; Tyrannidae
Exons: 3
Source: RefSeq, a predicted model, not a curated record
UUUUCCUAGGUCCCGGCCGGUCUGCGAAGCGAUGUUCAUCGCCAAGGUUUGGGCGCAGACCGUACCGGGACCUGGGUUUUGUCAGGCAGGCGGAGGUUUUGCUUUUCGAGGCCCCUCGGGAACCCCGUUCCCGAGGGAGCCAGCUGGCGUGCGCCGAUAGUCCCAGGUGGCUUAGUGGGGGGUUGGAGGUGUGGAUGUAGUGUAGAGUACUAACCUUGUGUUUUUGUGUUUUCUCUUUCAGGUUUUUGUAGGUUUUUUUAGAUUUAGAAUAAAAAAACCCCAGCUGGGGGAUUUUUUUUUUCCCCCAGCUGGGGUUUUUUUUCCUAGGUCCCGGCCGGUCUGCGAAGCGAUGUUCAUCGCCAAGGUUUGGGCGCAGACCGUACCGGGACCUGGGUUUUGUCAGGCAGGCGGAGGUUUUGCUUUUCGAGGCCCCUCGGGAACCCCGUUCCCGAGGGAGCCAGCUGGCGUGCGCCGACAUUCCGGGGUGUCCGGUGGGUAGUGGAUGGGUUGAGGGCUUGUCAGGCAGGUGCAGGUUUGGCUUUUUGAGGCUUCCUGGGAACUGUGUUCUUGAGGGAGUGCUGUCAAUGUGUUACUUGUAUUGUAACUUGUACUGUAACAGCUUUUGCACCUUGUACCUUGUACUUUGAAAUUUAACUUGUAAUGUGUAACUUAUACCUUGUACUUUGAAAUUUAACUUGUAAUGUGUAACUUGUACUGUGCAAUUUGUAACGUCAUUUGUAAUUUGUAUGUUAAGUAAUAAAGGUUUGUAACUAACUUCUAAUUUCUAACUUGUGUUUUCUAAAUUUUUGUACCUUCUAACUUGUACUCUCUUAGUUCUUGUGCUGUCUAACUUAGUUCUUGUCUUCUCUAACUUCUUGUACUGUCCAACUUAGUUCUUGUACUCUCUAACUUCUUGUACUGUCCAACUUAGUUCUUGUCCUCUCUAACUUCUUGUACUGUCCAACUUAGUUCUUGUACUCUCUAACUUCUUGUACUGUCCAACUUAGUUCUUGUCCUCUCUAACUUCUUGUACUGUCCAACUUAGUUCUUGUACUCUCUAACUUCUUGUACUCU